RNAcentral lists this unclassified non-coding RNA (7082 nucleotides) under Mizuhopecten yessoensis (Yesso scallop). Its description in RNAcentral is "5'-AMP-activated protein kinase catalytic subunit alpha-2-like, transcript variant X6". The record is from RNAcentral. Lineage: Eukaryota; Metazoa; Mollusca; Bivalvia; Pectinida; Pectinidae.
AUGACAGAUUGAGGAGGCCCAUAUGACGUCCAUGUUGUUGAUCUGGCACAUGUCAAUGUGAACGUCGGAGGAUGAAAAUCAACACUGACAACUUUUUUAUUGGGGAUAUGAAGACGUAAAAUGUGCAAAUAGAUAUUGCACCUGGAAAUUAGUGCCAUACGUGCCCCAAACGCGCAAGUCCUGAGCUACGCCCCUGGAUAUUCUGGUUACAGACUCGCCAUCCGCGAGGAUAAACUGUAAACAUGGCGGAGAAAACUGCACCUCAGAUAAAAAUCGGUCAUUAUAUUCUGGGAGAUACGCUCGGCGUUGGAACCUUUGGGAAAGUUAAAAUUGCAACCCACCAUGUAACCAAUCACAAAGUGGCUGUUAAGAUUUUGAAUCGUCAAAAGAUCAAGAAUCUUGAUGUUGUUGGCAAGAUCAAGCGAGAAAUUCAGAAUCUUAAACUAUUCAGACAUCCUCAUAUAAUCAAACUAUACCAGGUGAUGAGCACACCCACAGACAUUUUUAUGGUGAUGGAGUAUGUGGCCGGAGGAGAAUUGUUCGAUUACAUUGUUAAACAUGGCAAGUUAAAGGAGCCAGAAGCGAGGCGGUUUUUCCAGCAGAUCAUAUCUGGCGUUGACUACUGCCAUCGACAUAUGGUAGUCCACAGGGAUCUAAAACCAGAGAACCUGCUGCUCGACAGUACCCUCAAUGUCAAAAUAGCUGACUUUGGGCUCUCCAACAUGAUGUAUGACGGCGAGUUCCUCAGAACCAGCUGUGGCUCACCAAAUUACGCAGCUCCAGAAGUCAUCUCGGGAAAAUUGUAUGCGGGGCCUGAAGUUGACAUAUGGAGUUGUGGUGUUAUUUUAUAUGCCCUACUUUGUGGAACUCUGCCUUUUGAUGAUGAGCAUGUACCUACCUUAUUUAGAAAAAUAAAAUCUGGUAUAUUUGCUAUACCUGAGUACCUCAACAAGGAAGUGGUCAGCUUACUCUGUCUCAUGUUACAGGUUGACCCGUUAAAGCGAGCCACAAUCAAAGGUAUCAGGGAACACGAUUGGUUUAAGGACGAUGUACCCAAUUACCUGUUUCCUUCAGAUAAUGACCAAGAUGCCUCCAUUGUAGACUACGACGUCGUGAGGGAAAUAUGUGAGAAAUUCAAUGUGACAGAAAUGGAAGUGAACAGAGCCCUCAUGAGCGGAGAUCGGUACGAUCAGCUCAACAUAGCCUAUCACUUAAUCCUGGAUAAUAACCGAAUAGCUGAUGAAGCUGCUGACUCCGAGAUACAGGACUUUUACCUUGCCUCCAGUCCUCCUGUUGAUUCCUUCCUCAUGGCGAGAUAUGCUCACCUGGGUUUGGGCUCCCCGCCCUCACAGGAUCAAGUUACCAUGGCUACCAGUCCUCUGAAACCACACCCAGAAAGGAUGCCAGAAAUGAAGAGUACUAGUCACACCUUAGAACCAUUGCUGGCGACAACAAACAAAGGACUGACUCCGUCCAAAAAGGCCAAGUGGCAUCUAGGUAUCAGAUCACAGAGUAAGCCUCAGGACAUCAUGCAUGAGGUAUUCCGGGCGAUGAAAACAUUGGACUAUGAGUGGAAGACUGUGAAUCCCUACCACGUCAAAGUUAGGAGGAAGAACCCUGGCUCAUGCAGAUAUAGUAAGAUGAACCUCCAGCUGUACCAGGUGGACCAGAAAAGUUUUCUGCUCGACUUUAAGAGCUUGAAUUUGGUAGAUGUCUCCGAGGGGUCCCUUGGAAACUCCCUGUCCGACUCCAUGGGGCGGAGCAUGUCCGGCUCCCCGCCUUCCUCCCUAUCUGACCUUGAUUACUCCUCAGACAAUGUCUUGUUUAUGCCUGACGAGAGGAUGGAGACAGAUGAUGAGACGCCCCAAUGUCACGUGACUCUUGAAUUCUUUGAGAUGUGUGCGAACCUGAUUACAACAUUAGCACGGUAACCAACGGACAGAAGAUUGGUCUGGCCUAACAUAGUCCGAGACUAUAAGAAACAACCAACAUACAGGAGAUUUACGAGGUCUACCAUAGCCAUAGACCUUAAAUAACAACCAACAAAUUCAGGAAACAACAGAAGACUUAUAAGGCCUACUAUAGCCUGACAGAAACUGUUCUCAUGUUCACUCUUACUCAUCAUCUGCCUGCGGAUGAAACCAUGAAGUCUGGACCUCGUAGUAUUAUUGUGGAAAGAAGCCAUUGUUAUAUUAAAGGUUUUGAUUAGUUUCUAGAUGUAAACUGCAUUGAUGUGUGCAUGCUUAAUAAGAAAAAGGACUUGUUUAUCAAUGCUAUGCACUGUGUUGCAUUUAAAGAACACUAUCAUUAAGCACUCAUUGUAUUGGGAAUAUUUGUAAUGCAGAAUCCUGUGACUAAUUGAUGGAUCUAUGAAAGAGGAUGCCCUAAUAACACCUGUCUUCAGUUUCUGUUCUGGUGUUUUUAGAUAAAACUGUCCUGGAAAUAAGUUAACUUCAGAUAUGUAUAGGCCAGAUCAAAUCUAUCACAGAAACUUAGCUAAGAUAAAUUGUAUAUUGUGGCUUUUAUGUUACGUUUACUUAGCCCUUUCACCACUGUAGACCAUAAAGGACUCAUCCAGAUCAAUGCAUGGUAGAGUCCACUUAAGUUACAUAGGGGUGAAGGGGUUAGAUAGUGCUUUCCGUGACCUUCAGGACAUCUGUGCUGGCAAUUCAUACUGAUGAAGAAUUCAAUAGAUCAGGGGCCCUCGUUGGCAGAGAGGUUAAGGCAUAUGACUGUCAUUGAUCACUAGCCCUCGACCACUGGGUCGCAGGUUCGUGUCCUACUUGGGGCAGUCGCCAGGUACUGACUGCCUGUUGAUGGUUUUUCUCUGGGAACUCAGGCUUUUCUGUCCCUAAAUGUCCAUACUUUUUUAAUAAGAUGUAAAACACAAACAAACCAAACUAAUAUAUCUGUGCUGUAAACUUUUGCUGAUGUCAUAAAAAUACAACUUAUCAGGCCCAAGUUUCAUUAACAUUCCGUAACUUAAGGAAAUUCUUUUUAAAAAACAUUGUGGGGGUUCAAAAUUUAUCUUAAUUAAGUGAUUUAAAUUUUCUUCAGCAAUGCUUUCCAUCGGAAAAGCAUGAAAUAAUGAAUUUCCUCAAAUUAAGUAAAUGUUUAUGAAAUGGAGCUCGAGGUGAGGGCUGUUAAUUUGGACUGUACGGCGAUACAAUUCACUAGAUGUGUGUGCUGUAAGUUUAACUGAUUCAGUGAUGUUCCACACAGUCUAUAGCUAGUCAAUGAUAAACUGAUGUGAGAGUGUUCACGUGUCUCUGUACUGCAGGACACAAGAGCAUGGAAAGUGCUUAUGUUAAUAUUUUUGACACAUGAAAGGUAAAUAUUAUGUAAUGACCAUAAAGAGCCUAUUAUAGACAUAUUUGUAUAUUUUACUAGAUUUGUUGCAGACCUAUUACCUGGUUUUAUUAUUGUGUAUGUUCCUUAAAUAUAUGCAACACAAUGGAAAAAAGUCUAGAUUUUUUGGGGGGAAAAUCUAGGGGGGGAGGAAUGUGACUUAAUUACAUGCCUGAAUUUCGUAUCUAUACCGGUAAUAUAUUUUGUUUGCUUUUGAAUAAACCAGUAACAUACUGGUAAUGGGUUAAGGCCAAAGAUUUGUUUACUUAAAUCAUUCACCCCUGAAGACACAUUUGAACUCUUCCAAUUCAAAGGUUGGAAUAGUUCAUUAUGAAAUUUCAGGGGUGAAUGAGUUAAUAUUCUGUGUUUAGAAUAGACAACCUCUGUAAAGAAAUGUUAAAAAAAACAUAGAUUAGUACAGUAGUUUAAUAUCUGUGUCAAUAGUUAAAUGGGAAGGAUAUAUAUGUUUUGUGAAUUAUAUAAUUUUUGUUUUAAGACUAUUUAGGGCGAGCAAAUAUUUGUGUUGUUUUUUCGAGCUGUUAUUGUUGCUCUAGAACUACAUCAUGGAGUGUUGUUAUGGUAGCCGUGUCUGUGAUAGAAGUAUUGUGAUGAUGUUACGGACAUGGUAGUCUGAGUCAUUGAAAGGUUUUAUCUUGUGAACGAAGCCCUCUGAGUCAUUGAAAGGUUUUAUCUUGUGAACGAAGCCCUCUUGAGUCAUUAAAAGGUUUUAUCUUGUGAAUGAAGCCCUCUGAGUCAUUGAAAGGUUUUAUCCUGUGGUCGAAGCCCUCUGAGUCAUUGAAAGGUUUUAUCUUGUGAUCGAAGCCUUCUGAGUCAUUGAAAGGUUUUAUCUUGUGAUCGAAGCCCUCUGAGUCAUUGAAAGGUUUUAUCUUGUGAACGAAGCCCUCUGAGUCAUUGAAAAGUUUUAUCUUGUGAACUAAGCCCUCUGAGUCAUUGAAAGGUUUUAUCUUGUGAACGAAGCCCUUAUCUUGUGAACGAAGCCCUCUGAGUCAUUGAAAGGUUUUAUCCUGUGAUCGAAGCCCUCUGAGUCAUUGAAAGGUUUUAUCAUGUGAACGAAGCCCUCUGAGUCAUUGAAAGGUUUUAUCUUGUGAACGAAGCCCUCUGAGUCAUUGAAAGGUUUUGUCUUGUGAACAAAGCCCUCUGAGUCAUUGAAAGGUUUUAUCUUGUGAACGAAGCCCUCUGAGUCAUUGAAAAGUUUUAUCUUGUGAUCGAAGCCCUCUGAGUCAUUGAAAGGUUUUAUCUUGUGAACGAAGCCCUCUGAGUCAUUGAAAGGCUUUAUCCUGUGAUCGAAGCCCUCUUGAGUCAUUGAAAGGUUUAUCCUGUGAACCAACCCCUCUUAUUUUUUGAGACAAGAAACAAUACUUACCUCAUCAGAAAACUUGAUGGUAUUAGCAGAUUUGAGGAAAUUACGGAUAUAGUAGUUAAUUAUUUUUCAUGCACGCUUAAUUGUACAGAACCUUUCAGUGCCUAUUGGUAACUACAGUAUUUCGUGUUUCUCUCAGAAAACAAAUCAUGUUCACAUGGUUCAUUAAAUCAUUCACCCCUGAUGACACAUUUGAACUCUUCCAAUUCAAAGGUUGGAAUAGUCCAUCAUGCAGUUUCAGGGGUGAAUGAGUUAAUUUCCCCUCAAUACUGAAUUAACUUUUAAGUAUCAUGUGACAUGUAAGUGACCCACAUUGCGACCCACAUUGCAGUAUACCGGUAUUACAUAAAAAGUGAACAAGUGAAAAUUAAAUGUGUUAAUAAAAGUGAUCACAACUUUUAAGUUGGGCUUUCGUUGUGACUGUUUGCUGUGGGCUAAUUAGAUGAGGACGGGGUAUACGUAUAUAAUGUGUGUUUUGUGGUGUCACAAUCUUGUAUAUAUAGUAAUGGAGGGGAGUGGGGGAGGGCUGUGCUAUAUAAUGGGUACAGUGCUCAUGCAAUUAACUCAUCCACCCUUGAAGACAAAUUUGAACUCUUCCAAAUCAUAAAAUGGAAUAGUUCAUUAUGAAAUUUCAGGGGUGAAUGAUUUAAGCUGAUAACAUAACAAAAUCCAUAUAUAUAUAUAUAUAUGUUUGGAAAGAUGGUCAGUUUGAUUUCAACACCUGAGCGUUUUUGUAUGCCCGGCCACGUGGAAGGUUGUAUAAAGUGUUCAUAUAUAUACAUAUGAUAUAAAUAUAUUUACAUUUAAUAGUUCGGAGGGUCCUGGGUUCGAACCUGGUCUGGAUGUUGCAUUUCUCUUUCUCCUGUUACAAAUUUAAUGGUUCCGGACCAGGAUUGGAACUCUGGACUUCUGAUCAAAUACUGUUGCUCUCACUAAACGAGUUUCCUGGUCAAUAGUAGUAAAGUGACCCAGUCUCUCUUCAGUUAUAUUCAAACAGGAGGGGAGGCUACUCUGUACAGUGGAAUUUAAUUCUCUGGUGUUAAACUGACAAGGGGAUAGAGAUCCUUAAAUAGAACCACUUUUUGGGGGAAUAACAUUUUGAUUUCAUUGGAGAAAUUUGGUUUUUUGUACACAAUGCAAGAUUAAUGAGGAUACAUGAUAGGGACUGCUUUUAAUGUAUAUAUGUACCAAUGACUUACUCAGAUUGUGUGUGCUAAUCAGCUAUAGUACUUAAAAAUGAAAGAAUUUGAAUUCUGCACUUAUUCAAUAUACUUGUACUUUCAUAAUCAUGAUACCUGAAAAAUUAUAUAUCUUAUUCUGAAAACUGUUUGGAAAGAGAAUGUCCUGGUUUGAACUGUGUGGCUAGCAAGGAAAUAUAAAUGAUAUACAUUUCGUUUCAGUGUUAAUUGUGAGAAAUGAUAGAACUGGAAGAAUGAAGCAUGAACAUUGUUUUAUGAAUUGUAUGAUGGCAGCUUAAGUUGGCAUUCCAACCUAGACGUUUCUGUGAAAUUUUUAGUAGAAAAAGUGAAACUACCACUCAUUGAUCAGAGUUAUCUCCCCUUAAUUAUAAUCUGUUGUGACAGAAAUUCGCUGGUAAUCAUUUAAAAUGGAGCAAUAUGUUAAAAUUAAUGCUUUUACAUCACAAAUGAAGCCCAUUUCCUCAAAAAACGCAGUAUGGACUUAAACAUCUAGGUUGGUGACUGCUGACAAUACUGAAUUUACAAGUUCAUACAGAGUUGGAUGUUCUUGUGAACAAUCUGCCCUCAGGCAGCUAGAUUGUAUAUUCUGUGUGUUUGAAGACUGGUUCACGCAGGGCUGAUUUUCACACAUGUAUUUACCAAUGGUGUAAUCUGAUCCAAAUCAACCAAAUUUGAUUGGUUUUUCGUAAAAUUGUAUCUAACCCCAGGAGUGUUAACUCAUUCAUCCCUGAAAUUUCAUGAUGGACUUCUCCAACUUUUGAAUUGGAAGAGUUCAAAUGUGUCUUGAGGGGUGAAUGAGUUAAACACCCAUGACCUGUAUGAAGUGUUUUGGUUGGUUUGGACGAUGAUCUAUAUAUUGAAUGCUCUUCACACAUGUCUAAGCACAGGGAAAGCAUGUACUCUCUGACCUGUUUAUGUAUCGGUGCAUUAGUAGUUGUACAUGUACUCUCAGACCUGUUUAUGUAUCGGUGCAUUAGUAGUUGUACAGGUACUUGUAUUGUUACGAGGGGUAGAGAAACUAACAUCACCUUUAGUUUGUAUAUGUUGUUAUACCUGCUAUGCGUUACAAGUAUUGAUAGGAUUAAGCUAUUACUGACAAAUUCAUGUAAUUAUAAGUGAUGUGUACAUACGUAAUAAAACCAGAUACAACAGUC